UUAUUAUUAUUAUAAGACUUUUCUGCCCUCCAUCCAGUCUUCCUUUUCAUUUCGUCUCCCCAUCGCUGGGCCUCUAUACAUAACUGGGUUAAUCAUCAGGCAAGGAUCGCUGUUGAUAGUAUUUCAUUUAAAGGGCUGCUCAAUGAAGUUGAUAUCAGCCUGGACUUGGACUCUAAUGGUCUCUGUUUUCCAUUGAGCUGCUGUAUUGGGGUGGAGGACAGGUUGAGAUGAGGGGAUGAUGGGAGAGGACAGGUUGAGAUGAGGGGAUGAUGGGAGAGGACAGGUUGAGAUGAGGGGAUGAUGGGAGAGGACUGGGUGAGAUGAGGGGAUGAUGGGAGAGGACAGGUUGAGAUGAGGGGAUGAUGGGAGAGGACAGGUUGAGAUGAGGGGAUGAUGGGAGAGGACAGGUUGAGAUGAGGGGAUGAUGGGAGAGGACAGGAGGAGAUGAGGGGAUGAUGGGAGAGGACAGGUUGAGAUGAGGGGAUGAUGGGAGAGGACAGGUUGAGAUGAGGGGAUGAUGGGAGAGGACAGGUUGAGAUGAGGGGAUGAUGGGAGAGGACAGGGUGAGAUGAGGGGAUGAUGGGAGAGGACAGGAGGAGAUGAGGGGAUGAUGGGAGAGGACAGGUUGAGAUGAGGGGAUGAUGGGAGAGGACAGGAGAAGAUGAGGGGAUGACGGGAGAGAACAGGUUGAGAUGAGGGGAUGAUGGAAGAGGAAAGAAGGAGAUGGGGGGAUGACGGGAGAGGACAGGGUGAGAGAAGGGGAUGAGGGGAGAGGACAGGGGGAGAUGAGGGGAUGACGGGAGAGGACA
Long non-coding RNA from Oncorhynchus keta (chum salmon), 809 nucleotides. RefSeq lists it as uncharacterized. The transcript has 3 exons. The record is from RefSeq and is a predicted model, not a curated record. NCBI's taxonomy places the organism in Eukaryota, Metazoa, Chordata, Actinopteri, Salmoniformes, Salmonidae.